This 253-nucleotide ribosomal RNA is filed under the name uncultured bacterium. RNAcentral describes it as "partial 16S ribosomal RNA". It matches the Rfam family "Bacterial small subunit ribosomal RNA", at positions 524 to 776 of the family's 1533-position model. The record is from RNAcentral.
UACGUAGGGGGCAAGCGUUGUCCGGAAUCAUUGGGCGUAAAGAGCGCGUAGGCGGCCCUGUAAGUCCGCUGUGAAAGUCAAGGGCUCAACCCUUGAAUGGCGGUGGAUACUGCAGGGCUAGAGUCCGGAAGAGGCGAGUGGAAUUCCUGGUGUAGCGGUGAAAUGCGCAGAUAUCAGGAGGAACACCGAUGGCGAAGGCAGCUCGCUGGGACGGUACUGACGCUGAGGCGCGAAAGCGUGGGGAGCAAACAGG